This is a long non-coding RNA of Quercus lobata, 314 nucleotides long. RefSeq lists it as uncharacterized. NCBI's taxonomy places the organism in Eukaryota, Viridiplantae, Streptophyta, Magnoliopsida, Fagales, Fagaceae. The transcript has 3 exons. The record is from RefSeq and is a predicted model, not a curated record.
GAAUCACACACUCACUCUCACUCUCUCAUUUGUGAGCGAGUCAGGACUCGGUUGGCUUAAAUGGCGAGUACAUGGAAGACUCGGCUCGACCCGACUCGGGUUGACUCGCAGCGAUGUCCACGGAGGUUAACUUGAGUAGUGGAACUCACCACCUUCCCUUGGUUAAACGCCGUCGUUCCCGGAAUUUGUUCAGGAAUGUGGUGCACAUUUAAUCAUUAUCAGUCCACACUCUGUUCAUAGAGCACAUGCUGGAGAAAGUGAGAAAGUUUUGUGGGAAGCAUUUUCAGAGGCAUCAUCCCAUGCAAUGUUGGGCA